RNAcentral lists this ribosomal RNA (468 nucleotides) under uncultured bacterium. RNAcentral describes it as "partial 16S ribosomal RNA". It matches the Rfam family "Bacterial small subunit ribosomal RNA", at positions 28 to 507 of the family's 1533-position model. The record is from RNAcentral.
GACGAACGCUGGCGGCAUGCUUAACACAUGCAAGUCGAACGGAAAGGCCCUGCUUUUGUGGGGUGCUCGAGUGGCGAACGGGUGAGUAACACGUGAGUAACCUGCCCUUGACUUUGGGAUAACUUCAGGAAACUGGGGCUAAUACCGGAUAGGAGCUCCUGCUGCAUGGUGGGGGUUGGAAAGUUUCGGCGGUUGGGGAUGGACUCGCGGCUUAUCAGCUUGUUGGUGGGGUAGUGGCUUACCAAGGUUUUGACGGGUAGCCGGCCUGAGAGGGUGACCGGCCACAUUGGGACUGAGAUACGGCCCAGACUCCUACGGGAGGCAGCAGUGGGGAAUAUUGCACAAUGGGCGGAAGCCUGAUGCAGCAACGCCGCGUGCGGGAUGACGGCCUUCGGGUUGUAAACCGCUUUCGCCUGUGACGAAGCGUGAGUGACGGUAAUGGGUAAAGAAGCACCGGCUAACUACGUG